GAAAUGCGAUAAGUAAUGUGAAUUGCAGAAUUCAGUGAAUCAUCGAAUCUUUGAACGCACAUUGCGCCCGCCAGUAUUCUGGCGGGCAUGCCUGUCCGAGCGUCAUUUCAACCAUCAGGCCCCCGGGCUUGUGUUGGGGACCUGCGGCUGCCCGCAGGCCCUGAAAACCAGUGGCGGGCUCGCUGUCACACCGAGCGUAGUAGCAAUCACCUCGCUCAGGGCGUGCUGCGGGUUCCGGCCGUUAAACAGCCUUACAAAACCCAAGGUUGACCUCGGAUCAGGUAGGAAGACCCGCUGAACUUAAGC
This 306-nucleotide unclassified non-coding RNA is filed under the name plant metagenome. RNAcentral's name for it is "partial contains 5.8S ribosomal RNA, internal transcribed spacer 2, and large subunit ribosomal RNA". The stretch from base 1 to 105 matches the Rfam family "5.8S ribosomal RNA", at positions 50 to 154 of the family's 154-position model. The record is from RNAcentral.